UUCCUUUUUCAAAAGUGGUUUUCCCAGGGUGAGGCUCAUCCACUGCACCCCUGGAUUUGCUGACCCUGCAAUUCCCAAAUGUGGAAACUCGACUGUAUAAUUUGUUGUAGUGGGGGAAUGUGUUCACCCUCUCCCCCG
Molecule: small nuclear RNA, 138 nt
Filed under: Nannospalax galili (Upper Galilee mountains blind mole rat)
Lineage: Eukaryota; Metazoa; Chordata; Mammalia; Rodentia; Spalacidae
Description: U1 spliceosomal RNA (ENSNGAG00000001931.1)
Rfam family: U1 spliceosomal RNA
About the family: U1 is a small nuclear RNA (snRNA) component of the spliceosome (involved in pre-mRNA splicing). Its 5' end forms complementary base pairs with the 5' splice junction, thus defining the 5' donor site of an intron. There are significant differences in sequence and secondary structure between metazoan and yeast U1 snRNAs, the latter being much longer (568 nucleotides as compared to 164 nucleotides in human).
Source: RNAcentral